GAUGAAGAACGCAGCGAAAUGCGAUAAGUAAUGUGAAUUGCAGAAUUCAGUGAAUCAUCGAAUCUUUGAACGCACAUUGCGCCCCUUGGUAUUCCGGGGGGCAUGCCUGUUCGAGCGUCAUUUCAACCCUCAAGCUCUGCUUGGUAUUGGUCACCGUCCUUUGCGGGCGCGCCUCAAAGACCUCGGCGGUGGCGUCUUGCCUCAAGCGUAGUAGAAUACACCUCGCUUCGGAGCGUAAGGCGUCGCCCGCCGGACGAACCUUCUGAACUUUUCUCAAGGUUGACCUCGGAUCAGGUAGGGAUACCCGCUGAACUUAAGCAUAUCAAUAAGCGGAGGA
RNAcentral lists this unclassified non-coding RNA (337 nucleotides) under soil metagenome. RNAcentral describes it as "partial contains 5.8S ribosomal RNA, internal transcribed spacer 2, and large subunit ribosomal RNA". The stretch from base 1 to 120 matches the Rfam family "5.8S ribosomal RNA", at positions 35 to 154 of the family's 154-position model. The record is from RNAcentral.